CGCAAGCCUGACGGAGCAACGCCGCGUGAGGGAUGAAGGCCUCUGGGCUGUAAACCUCUUUUCUCAAGGAAGAAGAUCUGACGGUACUUGAGGAAUAAGCCACGGCUAAUUCCGUGCCAGCAGCCGCGGUAAUACGGGAGUGGCAAGCGUUAUCCGGAAUUAUUGGGCGUAAAGCGUCCGCAGGCGGUUUUGUAAGUCUGUCGUUAAAGCGUGGAGCUUAACUCCAUUUAAGCGAUGGAAACUGCAAGACUAGAGUGUGGUAGGGGCAGAGGGAAUUCCCGGUGUAGCGGUGAAAUGCGUAGAUAUCGGGAAGAACACCAGUGGCGAAGGCGCUCUGCUGGGCCAUAACUGACGCUCAUGGACGAAAGCCAGGGGAGCG
This 379-nucleotide ribosomal RNA is filed under the name uncultured cyanobacterium. RNAcentral describes it as "bacterial SSU rRNA". It matches the Rfam family "Bacterial small subunit ribosomal RNA", at positions 376 to 770 of the family's 1533-position model. Lineage: Bacteria; Bacillati; Cyanobacteriota. The record is from RNAcentral.